RNAcentral lists this small nuclear RNA (113 nucleotides) under Ananas comosus (pineapple). RNAcentral describes it as "U5 spliceosomal RNA". It matches the Rfam family "U5 spliceosomal RNA". Rfam says of the family: U5 RNA is a component of both types of known spliceosome. The precise function of this molecule is unknown, though it is known that the 5' loop is required for splice site selection and p220 binding, and that both the 3' stem-loop and the Sm site are important for Sm protein binding and cap methylation. The record is from Rfam by way of RNAcentral. Lineage: Eukaryota; Viridiplantae; Streptophyta; Magnoliopsida; Poales; Bromeliaceae.
AGCUGCGUGGUGAGCACAGAGCGAACUAUUCUUUCGCCUUUUACUAAAGAAUACCGUGUGCACGCCACUCAAAGCAGCAUACGCCAAUUUUUUUAAGUGGGGUAUUUCCUUUG